CAUUAUUUGUAUCAUUAUUGUAUCAUCACUGUUUCAUUAUAAUAAAUAAUAAUAAUAAAAUUUUCCAAUAUUUUUUUUUAUUAUUUAUUAUAAUGAAACGGUAAUGAUACAAUAAUGAUGAAACAGU
RNAcentral lists this microRNA precursor (127 nucleotides) under Dictyostelium discoideum. RNAcentral describes it as "microRNA ddi-mir-7100 precursor". The record is from miRBase by way of RNAcentral. Lineage: Eukaryota; Evosea; Eumycetozoa; Dictyosteliales; Dictyosteliaceae.